AUUGAACGCUGGCGGCAGGCCUAACACAUGCAAGUCGAGCGGAUGAAGGGAGCUUGCUCCUGGAUUCAGCGGCGGACGGGUGAGUAAUGCCUAGGAAUCUGCCUGGUAGUGGGGGAUAACGUCCGGAAACGGGCGCUAAUACCGCAUACGUCCUGAGGGGGAAAGUGGGGGAUCUUCGGACCUCACGCUAUCAGAUGAGCCUAGGUCGGAUUAGCUAGUUGGUGGGGUAAAGGCCUACCAAGGCGACGAUCCGUAACUGGUCUGAGAGGAUGAUCAGUCACACUGGAACUGAGACACGGUCCAGACUCCUACGGGAGGCAGCAGUGGGGAAUAUUGGACAAUGGGCGAAAGCCUGAUCCAGCCAUGCCGCGUGUGUGAAGAAGGUCUUCGGAUUGUAAAGCACUUUAAGUUGGGAGGAAGGGCAGUAAGUUAAUACCUUGCUGUUUUGACGGUACCAACAGAAUAAGCACCGGCUAACUUCGUG
RNAcentral lists this ribosomal RNA (484 nucleotides) under uncultured bacterium. Its description in RNAcentral is "partial 16S ribosomal RNA". It matches the Rfam family "Bacterial small subunit ribosomal RNA", at positions 30 to 507 of the family's 1533-position model. The record is from RNAcentral.